RNAcentral lists this long non-coding RNA (2531 nucleotides) under Sus scrofa (pig). RNAcentral describes it as "lncRNA (ENSSSCG00000059212.1)". Lineage: Eukaryota; Metazoa; Chordata; Mammalia; Artiodactyla; Suidae. The record is from RNAcentral.
CACAUUUUGUUAUUUCCCACAGUAUUUCAAACUUUUCAUUAUUAUAUUUGUUAUGGUGAUCUGUUUGUUUUGCAAAGAGUUUACAACUCAUGGAAGGUUCAGGUGAUGCUUAGUAUUUUUUAGCAAUACAAAUUUUAAAUUAAGCUCUAUAUAUUCUUUUUAGGACAUAACACUAUUACACAUUUAAUAGACUACAGGAUACUAUAACUUUUAUAUGUGCUUGGAAACCAAAAAAAUUCAUGUGACUUGCUUUAUUGUUACAUUUGCUUUAUUGUAGUGGUCUGGAACCAAACCCACAAUAUCCCGGAGAUCUGCCUAUAUAUUCAAAUUCUGGGUCUGCCACUAACCAGUGUAGUGGUCUGGGACAAGUUACUCUACUUUUCUGAGUCCAUGUUUCCUCUUCUAGGAAAAAGAGAUAAUGAAAGGCCCUCUAGAUAGGGUUGUUGAAACAAUUAAAUUAAAUGAGAUAAAAUUGACUUUUGCCCAAACCUGUUCUUUCCAUCUCCAUGUAUGGUACCACCUCCCAUCUAGUGUAGUGGCUCAAGACAAAACUCUGAAGAGUUAUCUCUGAUUUUUUUUUUUUUUGUCUUUGCUUGGAUCCCAGAUGCAUCAAUAAGUCCAGAUGAUUCUAACUCUGAACCACAUCCUGAAUGUGCCUGCUUAGGUUUCUCUCAUUUGCCAUCAUCCUAGACCAAGACGCACUCCUAUCUUCCCUGGUCAACUGCAAUGGCACCCACCCUGGGUUUCCUGCCUUCCUCUUUCUCCCUACAACCCAUUCUUCACAAAACAGCCAUUUAUCAUCGCUUAGUGUAAUUCAAUUAUGUGUAACUCCUUGGACUAAAUCUACUCAAGAGUUUCCCUGGGCAUUUAGAAUAAAACCCACACUGCUUGCCUCUCUGAUCUUGCCCCAGCCUAUUUCUCCAUGGCCAUUCCCCUCACCCUGCCAUGCCUGGGAAGAUGGGGAGGAGCCAUGUACUCUAUUCUCAUCCUUCUGUAACAGCCCAGCCAUGGAUAUCGGUGGUAGAGUGAACUCUCCUGUCCCUGAACUAGGGCUUGGAUGUAGCUUUGGUCAGUGGCAAGUUAGUACUUAUGAGGUGGACAGAGCCCUGAAAUUCUGUGUGCCAUCUGACAUAGCCUCUUAUGCUUCCGUGAUCUGCCAGGAGAAUGUGCCUGGGUUGCUGCUUGUCCCAGGAGAGUCAGGGAAGAAGCAGCACAUCUGAGUCUAACUCAGAUUCUGGAGUCACACCUGGAUUAGCAGCGGCCAGAAGCAGAGUCAUUGCAGAAGACCCCAGAGCUGAGGCAACAAAAAUUAGUGCCUGCUGUUAUAAGCUGCUGAGUUUUGUGGUGGCGUUGGAGUAUUACUGCAGCAAGAGCUAAUUAAUGUGCUUAAGCCCUUCCUUUUCCUCUUGUUACCUGCAAUUUUCUUGCUGUUUCCCUCUGUGUGAAGCUAUUCUCUCCGUCUGGAUCAGAGUUUCUCAACCUGGCACUAUUGAAAUCUGGAACUGGAUAUUUGCUGUGGGGGAAUGGCCUCUGGUUGAAAACCAAGAUUCUGGAAUGUAUGUCUCCAUAUCUUCCCAGGCACAGCUCCUUCUACUCAGUCAGGCUCUACCUCUGACAUCCACACCUGAUCAUCCAUCAUCUUACUCAUUUAUUUCUUGACCUAUUUUUCUGCCUCUUCCUCUUGCCAUCACUGUGGAUCCUGGCACAUGGCAGGCACCCUAUCAGCCUCUCUAACGAAUGAAAGGUUGGAAAACACCCUGUCAACUGUGUUGACUCUAAAGCUUUAUAGUAACUGAUUAUAAAAAUAAGAAAAGAUAGAAAAAAGUCAUCAGCAGCAGAUCCACCCAGAAUUUAGCAGCUGGUAAAUUUCUGAUGCUAUAAUUUCCCUUCUGCAGCUGCUGCCCUCUGAGCUUUGGACAGAAUUCUGGAGCCCGAGCUGGGUUUGAUUGACUAAGAAAGAAAGAACCCUCAGUGGUCUUAGGAUAUCUUUAGAAUGAAUUUCAACAGCAAAAGAGUUCAGUGGAUGUGAUUUAAUUUGUUUGCCCCAAACAGCUGUGCCCCCUACUGAUAUCUCUGGCUCUGUUUGCGCAUAUAACCUUCAAAUAGCCAUGAGUUAAUAGGUGGGGGAGAGGCGGAAGCAUGUUAAAGUAGACGAAGAGUGCUGCCAACCUGUUUCUUAAUAACUAAUUAUACACAAAAUUUAUCUUCUCCCUCCACGCCUCCUCUUCCUUAAUAAGUUGACAACGUCAGUCUUUCCACUGGUGUCAGCCCAUCACAGGGAGAUUCUUUUUCUCAAAUAAAGACAUCAGCUAAACACAAAAGCAGCAACAUCAAAGUGUUUGGUGAGGCUUUUGGUGGUUCAGCAGGGAGAAAAGGGGAGGCAGAUGGGACUGGUCCCCAGUGCCCAAAUCAAACUUUUGAUCUGCAAGCUGGUGAGAUAAGAAGGGGCCCUUGCUGUCUAGGAGGGUAGCAGUGGAUGGGAUCUGGGGCUAGGAAGAGGGGAUGAAAACAAAGAUGAUGGUUGACAUGGU